GACGAACGCUGGCGGCGUGCUUAACACAUGCAAGUCGAACGGAAAGGCCCUGCUUUUGUGGGGUGCUCGAGUGGCGAACGGGUGAGUAACACGUGAGUAACCUGCCCUUGACUUUGGGAUAACUUCAGGAAACUGGGGCUAAUACCGGAUAGGAGCUCCUGCUGCAUGGUGGGGGUUGGAAAGUUUCGGCGGUUGGGGAUGGACUCGCGGCUUAUCAGCUUGUUGGUGGGGUAGUGGCUUACCAAGGGUUUGACGGGUAGCCGGCCUGAGAGGGUGACCGGCCACCUUGGGACUGAGAUACGGCCCAGACUCCAACGGGAGGCAGCAGUGGGGAAUAUUGCACAGUGGGCGGAAGCCUGAUGCAGCAACGCCGCGUGCGGGAUGACGGCCUUCGGGUUGUAAACCGCUUUCGCCUGUGACGAAGCGUGAGUGACGGUAAUGGGUAAAGAAGCACCGGCUAACUACGUG
RNAcentral lists this ribosomal RNA (468 nucleotides) under uncultured bacterium. RNAcentral describes it as "partial 16S ribosomal RNA". It matches the Rfam family "Bacterial small subunit ribosomal RNA", at positions 28 to 507 of the family's 1533-position model. The record is from RNAcentral.